Molecule: non-coding RNA, 1021 nt
Organism: Chrysemys picta bellii (western painted turtle)
Lineage: Eukaryota; Metazoa; Chordata; Testudines; Emydidae
Source: RefSeq, a predicted model, not a curated record
GACCAACUCGAGAGCGAAAACAAGACGCUACAGCACGAGAACAAAUGGAGAAAGGCUCGCAAUAAAACAGAUAACAUCACUCUUGAUGCAGGAACAGCCCACCCCAAUCUCUCCAUUGCUGGGGAUGAGAAGAAUUUUAAACAUGAAGCCCAACCUCGGCAAGUUCCACCAAAUCCACAGAGGUUCGAUUCAACUGUCUGUGUGUUGGGGUCUGAAGGAUUCUCCUCUGGAGAGCACUACUGGGAGGUGGAUGUUGGGAACAGCACUGACUGGGAUCUUGGUGUGGCCAGAAAAUCCAUACAGAGAAAAGGAAAACUGUCCUUGUCCCCUAGAGAGGGAUUCUGGGUUCUGGGUCUGAGUGGGAGAGAUUACUGGGCAAAAACUGAUCCAUGGACCCGGGUCAUGGUGCAGAAAAAGCCCAAGAAAAUUGGAGUUUACCUUAGUUACCAAGAGGUGACUUUUUUCAAUGUAACUGACCUAUCUGUGUUGUUCACAUUUAAUGAUUGUUCAUUCUCAGGAGAAGUUUAUCCAUUCUUUAAAAAUUCCCACAAAGAAACAAUAAUGAGAAUUUCUUCAAUUAAAGAAGAGGACUAAAUUUAAAAUGGCUGUUAUGCUCAGUUUUGCUGACCAAACUAAUCCCAAAGACCCCUGAUGCAUCAUGGCACUCUUGACCAAACCGAACCAAAGUAAGAGAAUGCUUUGCAGCCAGAUGAAAGGCAAAGUGGAAAAUCAUUGCCUGUGAAAUUAUAGUUACAUGCAUUGCUAAUGCUACAGGGGUGGCUUCCCAUGUAGCAGAUGCAACUUUACUGGAAUCCAUAAAACUGAACUAUCACAAACUGAGCUAUUAACUAGGAAUGAACUUUUUUUUAAUCACUAACUACUAGUUUAUCUGGAUAAGGCAUAUUAGUAGCUAAGAGUAAGGAAAUAAUAUUGUAUAUUAUACAGAUGUACCUGUGCUAGACUGUAUAACCAAUCUUCAAGUCAGGUAUAAAUACAGGUGAGGGAUGUGUCUUCAGAAUGG